GACGAACGCUGGCGGCGUGCUUAACACAUGCAAGUCGAACGGAAAGGCCCUGCUUGCAGGGUACUCGAGUGGCGUACGGGUGAGUAACACGUGGGUGUUCUGCCCUGCACUUCGGGAUAAGCUUGGGAAACUGGGUCUAAUACCGGAUAGGAGCCAUCCUUAGUGUGGUGGUUGGAAAGUUUUUUCGGUGUAGGAUGAGCUCGCGGCCUAUCAGCUUGUUGGUGGGGUAAUGGCCUACCAAGGCGGCGACGGGUAGCCGGCCUGAGAGGGUGUACGGCCACAUUGGGGCUGUGAUACGGGCCAGACUCCUACGGGGGGCAGCAGUGGGGAAUAUUGCACAAUAUGCGCAAGCGUGAUGCAGCGACGCGGCGUGUGGGAGGAAGGCCUUCGGGGUGUAAACUCCUUUCGCGAGGGAGGAAGCUUGUUUGUGACGGUACCUAGAUAAGAAGCACCGGCUAACUACGUG
Molecule: ribosomal RNA, 466 nt
Filed under: uncultured bacterium
Lineage: Bacteria
Description: partial 16S ribosomal RNA
Rfam family: Bacterial small subunit ribosomal RNA
Source: RNAcentral